GAGCCGCGGCACGCAGGCGCAAAGGCUGGCGUUCGAGGUUCGUUUACGCGCCGCUUCGCCGUGCAGGUGGUGGCGAAGCGCUCCUCCGAAAGGUUUCGGAAGCUGGUGGUAGCUCUGAAGAUAACGCUGCGUUAGGGCAUACUGCGGCGGAGGAUGGAACUCCGAUUGAAAGCAGUUGCUGGAGUGGAGCACGAAUUUCAACAGUAUGGUGGCUCAUGCCUCUAAUCUCAGCACUUUGGGAGGCCGAAGCAGGCAGAUCACCUGAGGUCAGGAGUUUGAGACCAUCCUGACCAACAUGGUGAAACUCGUCUCUACUACAAACAUAAAAAAAUUAGCUGGGCGUGGUACCACGCACCUGUAAUCCCAGCUACUCCUCUGGAGGCUCAGACAGGAGAACUGCUUGAACCGGGAGGCGGAGGUUGCAGUGAGCUGAGAUCGCACCAAUCCAUUCCAGCCUGGGCAACAGAGUGAGACUCCAUCUCAUAAAAAAAAAAAAAGUAAAGAAAAAAAAGAAAAUGUCUUUAUUUCAUUUUCUUUCCUAAAGAAUAUAUUUGCUGGAUAAAGGAUUCUGUGUUGACAGUUUUGUUGCUUUUUAAAAGCACUUUAUAAAUGUUGCUCCAUGGUUUCUGAUGAGAAAUCUGCCAUCACUGAAAUCUUUGGUUCUCCUAUAUACAAAGUGUUGUUUUCUUCCAGUUGUUUUCAAAGUAUUUUCUUUACAGUUGGUUUCAUCACUUUGAUUAUGACGUGCCUGGGUGUGGUUUUCCUUUUUGGGAUUUGCUGUGCCAGCAGACCGGCUUUAAAUAGAAUGCUAUGUAAAUGUAUGUGAAUAUUUGUUUUUUGCCAGAUGUUUGGAAGUUUUUAGCUAUUAUUUCUUCAGAUAUUUUUUUCUUCCAAUUGUUCUUUCUGGGCUCCUAAGACAUGAAUAUUAGACUGUUUCAUAUUGUCCCACAGAUCCCCAAAGGUCUUCUCAUUUUUUUCACUUUUUUCUCUGUCAUUCAGACUAGAUAAUUUCUGCUCAUGUAUCUUCAAAUUUACUGACUCUUCCCUCAGUCAUCUUCAUUGUGUUGAGACCUUCCAGUAAAUUUUGUUAUUGUAUUUUCAGUUCUACAAUUUCCACUUGUUUCUUUUUAUAGCUUCUAUGCUGAGACUUUUAGCUUUCCAUUUAUUUCAACAGUGUUUCCCUUUAUAUAUUUCCUUUGGAGAAAUGUCUUCUUUGUGUAGCAUGAUUAAAAUAACUAGUUUAACGGCCAGGUGUGCUGGCUUAUGCCUGUAAUCCCAGCACUUUGGGAGGCCCAGGCAGGCAGAUCACUUGAGGUCAGGAGUUUGAGACCAGCCUGGCCAACGUGGUGAAACUCUGUCUCUAUUAAAAAUACAAAAAAUUAUCUAGGCGUGGUGGUACACACCUGUAGUCACAGCUACUCAGGAGGCUGAGACAGGAGAAUCACUUGCACCCUGGGGGUGGAGGUUGCAGUGAGCCAAGAUUGUAUCACUGCACUCUAGCCUGGGUGAUAGAGACUGUCUCAAAAAUAAAUAAAAAAAAUAAAAUAACUAGUUUUAAGUCUUUUUCUGAUAAUUCUGACAUUUGGGUAACCUUAGAGUUGGCUCUUGUUCAUUGUCUUUUCCCUAGAGAGUUGCUUAGGUUUCACAAGUUCUUUGUCCAAUCAUUUUGGGUUGUUUCUGGGAUAUAUUUGGAAUAUUAUGAUAUUCUCUAUCCUGUUUAAAUCUUCAUAAGAAUGUUUUUGUUUUGUUUUGUUUUAGCAGACCAUCAAUUCAGUUAAGUUUCAGAGCACACAUCCUGGCCACUUUUUUUGGUGGCUGUGGUUCCAAUGUUAGUUUUCACUGCCUUUGUUAAGCUGUUCUUUGCCCCAGUUGUGCACCAUCUAGUGGCCAAUCUGAAACUUGGACAGUGGCCUACACUGUAAUUCAGUGUUCAGAACCUUUGCUCAGCUGCUUCUGGUUAGUUUCACACAUACACAGCUUGUGAGAUGAUCCCAGGAUUUUAUUGACAGAUUUAAGGGUUCCUUUUCUUCAGUUCCCUCCUAUUUGUGAUCUUACCUAUACUCUGGUUUCUAGAACCCCAUUCUUGGUUUUUGGCUAGAAAGUCAGGGCGUUAGCCUCCCCAUUGCCAGUGUUCUGCCCUGCAAUGUCUGCCACUAGUGCACCAGGGGGAAGAGAAGAGUGAUACCUCUUUACUGCUGCGGGAUUGAUGUAGAGCAAGGAAAGUCCAGAAGGUUCCAAGUCAUUACCCAUGGUUCUCCUGGUGGGGCGGUGGGUCUUACUGCAUCUUUCCUGAGGCUCUCUUAGAAUACUGCAAUUAAAUUAAAAAGGGUUUUGUCCCAUAGCCUCCAACCUCCUUUCUGGUCCUCUGACUAGAAACAGCAAAUUGUUCCUUGGACUAUUUUUCUCUCUGUCAGCUAGCAUUUCCAGUUUUCCUGUUAAAUGUCUUUUUUCUUUUUCCUUUUUUUUGAGACAAGGUUUUGCUCUGUUGCACGAUCACAGCUCACUGGAGCCUUAACCUCCUGGGCUCAAGUGAUCCUCCCACCUCAGCCCCCGUGAAGCUGGGACCACAAGUAUGAGCCACCACACCUGGCAAAAUUUUUUUAAUUUUGCAGAGACAGUGUCUCCCUGUGUUGCUCACUCUGGUCUCAACCUGAGCUCGAGUGAUCCUCCUGCCUUGGCCUCCCAAAGUGCUCGAUUACAGGUGUGAGCCACUGCACCUGGCCUUAUUAUGUGUCUAUGUGUGGAUUUUCUAGUUUAUUCUGUUUGGGAUUUGUCUGGCUUCUAGAAUGUGUGGGGUCAUGUCUUUCAUCAGUUUUUAAAAUUCUGCAUUCUAUCUAAGUAUUUGCUCUGUCCUAUUCUUGCCUCUCCUCUCACAGCUAAUGAAGCACUUAGGAUUUUUCACUGUAUUCUCUACAGGUCUUCUGUUUUUUUUUCCAGCUGUUUCUCCCAUGGUGCACUGUGAAUAGUUUCUCCUGAGUUAUCUUCCAGUUUAUAAACUACCCCAAUUGGCUACAUUCUAUUACAUCUAUUUACUGAGUUUUAAAGUGCAGUUUUUAUGUAUAUUCUUGUAAUGUUUAUAUUCAGUUCUUUUCCAGAUUAGCUCCACAACUUUUUAUCGUAUAGUUUCCCAUUUCCUGCAAGUACAUUCACACACCUUAUUUCCUUAAACAAAGAAAACAAAUCUAAUACCUAUAUCUGUGAGUUUGUUUUCAUUGCUUCAAGUAAUUCUUGCCUCUGGAAUCUAGUUUCCUUAUAUGACUACUUUUUACUAUGUGUUACUAGACAUAUUUGAAAAGUAAUUUGAGGCCUACAAUGAAAUUACUUUUCCAUGAAAAGUAUUUACAUUUUAUUUUCUCUGUCACCUGGAGGCAUUACUAGUGUGGGAACACCUUAAAGGAAGCUCAGUGCUUAAGAUUCUUUAGAUCACUGGGGCAAUUCUAAACUUGCCUGUUCUUUUACAUUGGUUCUUCCACCUCUGAUUCAUUAUCAUCCUAAA
This 3496-nucleotide long non-coding RNA is filed under the name Homo sapiens (human). RNAcentral describes it as "HSALNT0327610". Lineage: Eukaryota; Metazoa; Chordata; Mammalia; Primates; Hominidae. The record is from RNAcentral.